AUUUUUUGAGUACUUUCUCCACCGCUGCUACUCUUAUAUUAUGUCUAUGGCAGCCAUACCCGUCUCUGGACCGGCAAGAUGGCCACCAUUGCACUGUGCCACCAGCAGCGAUAUACAGAGGCAGGCGGCUCUUGAGGAGGAGAGGCCUCAGCUCUAGGUUUGGAUGCAGCUUCCCAGAAUCUCCCAGUGAUCCUCUUCCUCCUCCUGACAUGGUCUUCUUCACUGUCUCCUCAUCUUUUAUAUACAUAAAUUAUAGGAACAUUUUGUUAUGUUUCCAAAAACAUUGGCUGAAUAUCUGCUUGUAUGUUAUUGUAAUAAAUACAUUUUUAUGAAAA
Long non-coding RNA from Poecilia latipinna (sailfin molly), 335 nucleotides. RefSeq lists it as uncharacterized. The record is from RefSeq and is a predicted model, not a curated record. NCBI's taxonomy places the organism in Eukaryota, Metazoa, Chordata, Actinopteri, Cyprinodontiformes, Poeciliidae. The transcript is spliced from 2 exons.